Molecule: long non-coding RNA, 628 nt
Filed under: Gorilla gorilla gorilla (western lowland gorilla)
Lineage: Eukaryota; Metazoa; Chordata; Mammalia; Primates; Hominidae
Description: lncRNA (ENSGGOG00000044496.1)
Source: RNAcentral
CCAAAGUAGAUGGUUUAGUAAACUUUGAGAAGUUAAGAAUGAUUUCCAAGGAAAUCCGCCAAGUUGUUCGAAUGACUUCUGCUAACAUGGACCCAGCUAUGAUGUUUCGACAGAGGAAGAAGAGGUGGCGGAGUCUGGGGUCACUGAGUCAAGGAAGCACAAAUUCAAACAUGCUGGAUGUUCAGGGAGGUGCUCACAAAAAAAGGGCACGCCGCAGCUCUCUGCUUAAUGCCAAGAAGCUAUAUGAGGAUGCCCAAAUGGCAAGGAAGGUGAAGCAGUAUCUUUCCAGUCUGGAUGUAGAGACAGAUGAGGAGAAGUUCCAGAUGAUGUCAUUACAGUGGGAGCCUGCAUAUGGUACCUUGACCAAGAAUUUAAGUGAGAAAAGAUCAGCCAAAUCAUUUGAAAUGUCUCCAGUGCCUAUGAGGUCAGCUGGCCAAACAACUAAAGCCCACUUGCAUCAACCCCACAGAGUAAGCCAGGUGCUUCAGGUGCCAGCUGUUAAUUUGCACCCCAUCAGGAAGAAGGGACCAACAAAAGACCCUGCACUGAGUGAGUAUUCACCGUUAAUAUUACAUCCGUUUACCUGAAAUUUCCAGGGGAGUUAGAGUGAAAAAUAAUUACAGAUGUU